RNAcentral lists this microRNA (22 nucleotides) under Taeniopygia guttata (zebra finch). RNAcentral's name for it is "tgu-miR-1744". The record is from miRBase by way of RNAcentral. Lineage: Eukaryota; Metazoa; Chordata; Aves; Passeriformes; Estrildidae.
ACUUCAACAGGAGCAAGACUCA